RNAcentral lists this ribosomal RNA (466 nucleotides) under uncultured bacterium. RNAcentral describes it as "partial 16S ribosomal RNA". It matches the Rfam family "Bacterial small subunit ribosomal RNA", at positions 28 to 507 of the family's 1533-position model. The record is from RNAcentral.
GACGAACGCUGGCGGCGCGCCUAACACAUGCAAGUCGAACGAGCGAGAGAGAGCUUGCUUUCUCGAGCGAGUGGCGAACGGGUGAGUAACGCGUGAGGAACCUGCCUCAAAGAGGGGGACAACAGUUGGAAACGACUGCUAAUACCGCAUAAGCCCACGGUGCCGCAUGGCACAGAGGGAAAAGGAGCAAUCCGCUUUGAGAUGGCCUCGCGUCCGAUCAGCUAGUUGGUGAGGUAAUGGCCCACCAAGGCGACGAUCGGUAGCCGGACUGAGAGGUUGAACGGCCACAUUGGGACUGAGACACGGCCCAGACUCCUACGGGAGGCAGCAGUGGGGAAUAUUGCACAAUGGGGGAAACCCUGAUGCAGCGACGCCGCGUGGAGGAAGAAGGUCUUCGGAUUGUAAACUCCUGUUGUUGGGGAAGAUAAUGACGGUACCCAACAAGGAAGUGACGGCUAACUACGUG